UGGGGAAUUUUGGACAAUGGGCGAAAGCCUGAUCCAGCAAUGCCGCGUGUGUGAAGAAGGCCUUCGGGUUGUAAAGCACUUUUGUCCGGAAAGAAAUGGCUCUGGUUAAUACCUGGGGUCGAUGACGGUACCGGAAGAAUAAGGACCGGCUAACUACGUGCCAGCAGCCGCGGUAAUACGUAGGGUCCAAGCGUUAAUCGGAAUUACUGGGCGUAAAGCGUGCGCAGGCGGUUGUGCAAGACCGAUGUGAAAUCCCCGAGCUUAACUUGGGAAUUGCAUUGGUGACUGCACGGCUAGAGUGUGUCAGAGGGGGGUAGAAUUCCACGUGUAGCAGUGAAAUGCGUAGAGAUGUGGAGGGAAUACCGAUGGCGAAGGCAGCCCCCUGGGAUAACACUGACGCUCAUGCACGAAAGCGUGGGGAGCAAACAGGAUUAGAUACCCUGGUAGUCCACGCCCUAAACGAUGUCAACUAGUUGUUGGGGAUUCAUUUCCUUAGUAACGUAGCUAACGCGUGAAGUUGGACCGCCUUGGGGAGUACGGUCGCAAGAUUAAAAGCUC
RNAcentral lists this ribosomal RNA (558 nucleotides) under uncultured bacterium. Its description in RNAcentral is "partial 16S ribosomal RNA". It matches the Rfam family "Bacterial small subunit ribosomal RNA", at positions 355 to 902 of the family's 1533-position model. The record is from RNAcentral.